Molecule: ribosomal RNA, 301 nt
Filed under: uncultured bacterium
Lineage: Bacteria
Description: partial 16S ribosomal RNA
Rfam family: Bacterial small subunit ribosomal RNA
Source: RNAcentral
CAGUAGCCGCGGUAAUACAGAGGGUGCGAGCGUUAAUCGGAUUUACUGGGCGUAAAGCGUGCGUAGGCGGCUUCUUAAGUCGGAUGUGAAAUCCCUGAGCUUAACUUAGGAAUUGCAUUCGAUACUGGGAAGCUAGAGUAUGGGAGAGGAUGGUAGAAUUCCAGGUGUAGCGGUGAAAUGCGUAGAGAUCGGGAGGAACAUCAGUGGCGAAGGCGGCCAUCUGGGACAACACUGACGCUGAGGCACGAAAGCGUGGGGAGCAAACAGGAUUAGAUACCCGUGUAGUCCCUGUCUCUUAUAC